Molecule: long non-coding RNA, 621 nt
Filed under: Fukomys damarensis (Damara mole-rat)
Lineage: Eukaryota; Metazoa; Chordata; Mammalia; Rodentia; Bathyergidae
Description: lncRNA (ENSFDAG00000021857.1)
Source: RNAcentral
CUUUCUUGGAGGGAAGAGGGGCAUGUUGAGAAGAAGACUGUCCUUUGGUGGGAGAGGCCAUAUUUUAGUUUUUUGGCUAGAUGGAGCCUACGCAUUCUGACCAGUGAUGGUGGUAUGUCAGCUUCAUUGUACCAAGAAACGCCUAGCAAACUGGUAAAGCAGACACCUGGAUCAACUGUUCAACAUGCUCAAUACAAUGGUCUCUUGCAAUAAGUAGCCCAGGAAAGCAGAAAAUUGUAUGACAAAGGAAAAGUGAUCAAGGCAGGUGUAAUGGAAGCUCAUGAGGGAAGUUCUUCCUGUCAUCACAGAUGUCCUCAGAGUGCUCUUCUCCAUGGGAAAAACUGUGUCCCUGUCCCAUCAGCCAAAAAACAUGCAAUCCUGGGAAGGACCUUUCCAGUGCUGUCUCAUUAACCAGAUGACCCCCCAGACAUUGUCAGCACGGCCCAGCCAAGGUGAUUGAUCACCAGAGAACAGAGAAGAGUGUUCAGUUCUCUCCUUCACAGACGCCCUUCUGCCCGCCACACCAACGGAUGGGGCUGCACCUGCCCUGGAGUCGCUUGGGCUUGAGGCAGGGUGAGUUGGUUACCGGAUGGCACUGUUCUUAUGGAAGUUAGCUCUGUC